AGAACUAAAACUAGAGGCUCUCAAGAGCCUGUGUCGCUCACCUGUUAAUGUGUUUACUGAUGUCGGCCAUCUUCGUUGGUAGGCGGGGUCAUUAGACACUUUUUUUUAAAAUAGAUACCCUAGUAUUAUGAUUGUGGCCAAGUUUGGUUAAAUUUGGCCAAGUCGUUUUAGAAAAGAUUUUUAUACAAGUUACAAAAAUGACGAAAAGUUGUUCAAUAUUGGCUAUAAAGGGCAAUAACUGCUUAAGGGGUCCUCUAACAAUUUUGAUCAUGCUGACUUAUUUGUAGAUCUUACUUUGCUGAACAUUAUUGCUGUUUACAGUUUAUCUCUAUCUAUAAUAGUAUUCAAGAUAAUAACCAAAAACUGCAAAAUUUCCUUAAAAUCACCAAUUUUAGGGCAGCAACCCAACAACAGGUUGUCCGAUUCAACUCAAAAUUUGUGAGGGGAUAUAUCUUAUUCUGAUGGACAUUUAAAUCUUGAAAGAUUUGCCCUAAAUGUCUUAGUUUCAAAGAUAUAAAGCAAAAACUGCAUUUUACCACUAUGUUCUAAUUUUAGCCAUGUCGGCCAUUUUGUUUGGCAGGCUGGGUCAUCGGACACAUUUUUAAACUAUAAACCACAAUGAUAAUUGUGGCCAAGUUUGGUUAAAUUUAGCAAAGUAGUUUUGGAGAAGAUUUUUAGAAAAGUUACAAAAAAUG
This 695-nucleotide long non-coding RNA is filed under the name Mytilus galloprovincialis (Mediterranean mussel). Lineage: Eukaryota; Metazoa; Mollusca; Bivalvia; Mytilida; Mytilidae. The record is from RNAcentral.